Molecule: ribosomal RNA, 468 nt
Filed under: uncultured bacterium
Lineage: Bacteria
Description: partial 16S ribosomal RNA
Rfam family: Bacterial small subunit ribosomal RNA
Source: RNAcentral
GACGAACGCUGGCGGCGUGCUUAACACAUGCAAGUCGAACGGAAAGGCCCUGCUUUUGUGGGGUGCUCGAGUGGCGAACGGGUGAGUAACCCGUGAGUAACCUGCCCUUGACUUUGGGAUAACUUCAGGAAACUGGGGCUAAUACCGGAUAGGAGCUCCUGCUGCAUGGUGGGGGUUGGAAAGUUUCGGCGGUUGGGGCUGGACUCGCGGCUUAUCAGCUUGUUGGUGGGGUAGUGGCUUACCAAGGCUUUGACGGGUAGCCGGCCUGAGAGGGUGAACGGCCACAUUGGGACUGAGAUACGGCCCAGACUCCUACGGGAGGCAGCAGUGGGGAAUAUUGCACAAUGGGCGGAAGCCUGAUGCAGCAACGCCGCGUGCGGGAUGACGGCCUUCGGGUUGUAAACCGCUUUCGCCUGUGACGAAGCGUGAGUGACGGUAAUGGGUAAAGAAGCACCGGCUAACUACGUG